Long non-coding RNA from Microtus oregoni (creeping vole), 1638 nucleotides. RefSeq lists it as uncharacterized. The record is from RefSeq and is a predicted model, not a curated record. NCBI's taxonomy places the organism in Eukaryota, Metazoa, Chordata, Mammalia, Rodentia, Cricetidae. The transcript is spliced from 3 exons.
CAACCACAAGCUCAAGAUUUGAAGUUUCCUUUUUUGUCUUCUAAGUAAAAAUAUUUCCACUUGACUGACAGAUACUAUCCAGAAAUCAACUGCAGACUACAAACUGCCCCAAGCAGCUGUGAGUCCUGGACUUGCUGAUGUGAACCAGUCCAGCCAGUGUGGUGAUGUUUGUUCCCUGUAUGUUUAGCUGGGCCAGCAAACCAUAUCCUUCUCGUCAAUUCUCCAUUGCCUGAAAUUUCUCCCAGUCUUUUAUUAUCCUUCAGCCUUCCUGUGCCCUGAGAGUGACAUCUCAGUUCCAGCAGGAAGUAGUCACAGAAGGGAGCACAUCACCUCUUAGCCUAUAAAUAAAAGGCUGGAAAGUUAGGUCAAAAGGAAACUCCCUGGUAUAGGGGACAAAACGGUUACUUAUCGUGCCCAUUGGCACACCAGGAAAGGUACUUGUUAAAACCAAAUAGACGCAAAUAUAUCAAUAGGUUGAUUUAUUAUCUGAAGUGGUUCUACAAUUCGAUGGGGUGCUCAAUCUGCUUUAUGAAAGACACAGAUCUUAUUGCGUGGCAUUAGGAAAAAUUCUUCUUUCUAUGUAAAACACUUGAAAACCAUUAGCGGAAACUGGCAAGGAUUAGAUCUACUAACAAUGGAGAAGAGUGGCCUUCGUCUCUUCCUCGAGGAGGAAUGUUACUUCUAUGUCAACCAAUCAGAUACAGUAAAAGACGUGGUCUGACAACUCCAGUCAAAUCCCCCACAAUGUAAGGAGCAGCUUGAUUCCUCUGGCUAGGGGACUGUUGACAGUCCAAUACGGAAUUGGAUAAUGCCUUUCUCAACCCUCUUUCCGAAGCAUUGUUAAAGGCUCAGGGUCAGAAAUUGGGGUUCAACCUAAAGAUCUGAAAACAAACCAGUCAGCUACUGGCUCUUACCUUGACUUCAGUCUGAAAUGGCGAUCCUGCCUCCAGGAAUCUCAGAAUGAGACUGUGGCUGAGAGCUGCUCCCCCAUGUCUUACAUUCCUCUCUAGGACUGGGAUUAAAGGCACACACCACUGGAAUUAAAGGCAUGCACCACCCGAUUUCUACGGCAGCUAGUGUGGCUAUUGGGAUUAAAGGAUUAUCAGGGCCUGGCUACAAAACCAGGGCCCUUUGACUCCUGACUAUACUCAAGUGGUGAGGAUCAAGCUUGCCCCAUGGACUUCGAUGCCUCCAUACAACAGGAAGUAAUUUAAUGAUCAUGCCACCCUGUUUCCCAACUCCUGAUUAGAUAUCAGUAGUAAACAAAAAAUGGAGGAAUGUAGGGGGAAAGGGCCAAGGAAAGAACACCGUGACCCUAAUUUCACCUCAAGCUUGAGGCCAGGGCCAAGGGAAGAGCACUCUGUUCCUGGGUUGACGUAAAGCUCCCGACUUGAAAAUGCCUACCCUCAUGACUCGUCAUUAAUGACUGUGCAUGCUCCAAAAGGCCUAUAAAAGCCCUUCCCUCUACCCAAUCCUCUGCUGUCUCUGUUCCUGCCCACGGGCAGCAACCAUUCUGUGUCUCUCCCCAAUAAAUCUCUAGUAUGAAGUUUGUUGCACAGUGUGACUUUGUGGUUCCUUGGCUCCAGAUCACCAAAUUGUCCGUGCACCAGAAAAAAACCUUACAGGAUGCAAUGGCAG